This is a non-coding RNA of Acanthosepion pharaonis, 112 nucleotides long. Lineage: Eukaryota; Metazoa; Mollusca; Cephalopoda; Sepiida; Sepiidae. The record is from the annotation of a GenBank genome assembly.
GACGGCCGCAUCACGUUGAAACACCGGCUCACAUCCGAUCACGGAAAUUAAGCAACAUUGAGACUGGUCAGUACCUAGAUGGGUGACCGCUUGGGAAAACCAGGUGCUGUAA